This 434-nucleotide ribosomal RNA is filed under the name uncultured Lachnospiraceae bacterium. RNAcentral's name for it is "partial 16S ribosomal RNA". It matches the Rfam family "Bacterial small subunit ribosomal RNA", at positions 341 to 792 of the family's 1533-position model. Lineage: Bacteria; Bacillati; Bacillota; Clostridia; Lachnospirales; Lachnospiraceae. The record is from RNAcentral.
ACGGGAGGCAGCAGUGGGGAAUAUUGCACAAUGGGGGAAACCCUGAUGCAGCGACGCCGCGUGAGUGAAGAAGUAUUUCGGUAUGUAAAGCUCUAUCAGCAAGGAAGAAAAUGACGGUACUUGACUAAGAAGCCCCGGCUAACUACGUGCCAGCAGCCGCGGUAAUACGUAGGGGGCAAGCGUUAUCCGGAUUUACUGGGUGUAAAGGGAGUGUAGACGGCAUAGCAAGUCUGAAGUGAAAUGCAUGGGCUCAACCCAUGAACUGCUUUGGAAACUGUUAAGCUAGAGUGCAGGAGAGGUAAGUGGAAUUCCUAGUGUAGCGGUGAAAUGCGUAGAUAUUAGGAGGAACACCAGAGGCGAAGGCGGCUUACUGGACUGUAACUGACGUUGAGGCUCGAAAGCGUGGGGAGCAAACAGGAUUAGAUACCCUGGUA